AGGGCACCACCAGGAGUGGAGCCUGCGGCUUAAUUUGACUCAACACGGGGAAACUCACCCGGCCCGGACACUGGAAGGAUUGACAGAUUGAGAGCUCUUUCUUGAUUCAGUGGGKGGKGGUGCAUGGCCGUUCUUAGUUGGUGGAGUGAUUUGUCUGGUUAAUUCCGAUAACGAACGAGACUCUAGCCUACUAAAUAGAUCGUCGGCUUACAAACGCCGGCGAGACUUCUUAGAGGGACAGGCGGUGAUUCAACCGCACGAAACARAGCAAUAACAGGUCUGUGAUGCCCUUAGAUGUCCGGGGCCGCACGCGCGCUACACUGAAGUGAUCAGCGUGCUUUUUCAACCUACUCUGUCAAGAGUGGGGAACCCAAUGAACCUUCUUCGUGAUUGGGAUAGGGGAUUGUAAUUGUUCCCUUUGAACGAGGAAUUCCCAGUAAGCGCGAGUCAUAAGCUCGCGUUGAUUACGUCCCUGCCCUUUGUACACACCGCCCGUCGCUACUACCGAUUGAAUGUUUU
This 519-nucleotide ribosomal RNA is filed under the name uncultured eukaryote. RNAcentral describes it as "SSU rRNA". It matches the Rfam family "Eukaryotic small subunit ribosomal RNA", at positions 1172 to 1719 of the family's 1831-position model. The record is from RNAcentral.